UACGUAGGGUGCGAGCGUUGUCCGGAAUUAUUGGGCGUAAAGAGCUCGUAGGCGGUUUGUUGCGUCGGCCGUGAAAACCUGCAGCUUAACUGUGGGCCUGCGGCCGAUACGGGCAGACUUGAGUUCGGUAGGGGAGACUGGAAUUCCUGGUGUAGCGGUGAAAUGCGCAGAUAUCAGGAGGAACACCAGCGGCGAAGGCGGCGCUCUGGGCCGGAACUGACGCUGAGGAGCGAAAGCGUGGGUAGCAAACAGG
RNAcentral lists this ribosomal RNA (253 nucleotides) under uncultured bacterium. RNAcentral's name for it is "partial 16S ribosomal RNA". It matches the Rfam family "Bacterial small subunit ribosomal RNA", at positions 524 to 776 of the family's 1533-position model. The record is from RNAcentral.